ACCUCGGAUCAGGUAGGGACACCCGCUGAUCUUUCCGCAUGAAACCCCCGGAAAAAAACCUUAAAAA
Molecule: ribosomal RNA, 67 nt
Filed under: Oculimacula yallundae
Lineage: Eukaryota; Fungi; Ascomycota; Leotiomycetes; Helotiales; Ploettnerulaceae
Description: partial 28S ribosomal RNA
Source: RNAcentral